Molecule: ribosomal RNA, 811 nt
Filed under: uncultured Clostridia bacterium
Lineage: Bacteria; Bacillati; Bacillota; Clostridia
Description: bacterial SSU rRNA
Rfam family: Bacterial small subunit ribosomal RNA
Source: RNAcentral
CCCUUCGGGGUGAAGAUAAGACGGAUUAGCGGCGGACGGGUGAGUAACACGUGAGUAACCUGCCUUUUACACAGGGAUAGCCUCGGGAAACCGGGAUUAAAACCUGAUGAAACUAUCAAAUCACAUGAUUAAGAAAGUUAAAACUCCGGUGGUAAAAGAUGGACUCGCGUCCCAUUAGCUAGUUGGUGAAGGUAACGGCCCACCAAGGCAACGAUGGGUAGCCGGCCCGAGAGGGUGAACGGCCACAUUGGAACUGAGAAACGGUCCAAACUCCUACGGGAGGCAGCAGUGGGGAAUAUUGCACAAUGGGGGAAACCCUGAUGCAGCGACGCCGCGUGAGCGAAGAAGGCCUUCGGGUCGUAAAGCUCUUUUAUAUGGGAAGAUAAUGACGGUACCAUAAGAAAAAGCCCCGGCUAACUACGUGCCAGCAGCCGCGGUAAUACGGAGGAUACGAGCGUUAUCCGGAUUUAUUGGGUUUAAAGGGUGCGUAGGUGGCUGAUUAAGUCAGUGGUGAAAAGCUAUGGCUCAACCAUAGUCUUGCCGUUGAUACUGGUUAGCUUGAGUGUAGAUGAUGUAGGCGGAAUGCGUAGUGUAGCGGUGAAAUGCAUAGAUAUUACGCAGAACUCCGAUUGCGAAGGCAGCUUACAAAACUACUACUGACACUGAGGCACGAAAGCGUGGGUAUCAAACAGGAUUAGAUACCCUGGUAGUCCACGCCGUAAACUAUGAUUACUCAGAGUAUGCGAUAUACAGUAUGCUCUCAAGCGAAAAGCAUUAAGUAAUCCACCUGGGGAGUACGUCGGCAACGAUG